Pangasianodon hypophthalmus (striped catfish) is the source of this 346-nucleotide long non-coding RNA. RefSeq lists it as uncharacterized. The record is from RefSeq and is a predicted model, not a curated record. The transcript is spliced from 3 exons. NCBI's taxonomy places the organism in Eukaryota, Metazoa, Chordata, Actinopteri, Siluriformes, Pangasiidae.
CUCCGGGAACACGAGCGCUUCUUGGCUCCUCCUCGUCACCGCCGGUUUGGCUUUCUGCCACGACUGCAAGAAUUAUCCACAUCACCACCACUACCUUGUCUAGUUUAAUUAUUCAGCUGUCAGGGGGCGUGUUUGAGUGCCAGCUGUGAUGCAGAGAGUGAGAAGGGGAAAAUGAGCUGCCAGAUGCCUAGCAGAUGCUAGAGAGUGAUGGAGCUGACCUUACCUGCCCUGACCCAGCUGAGCUAAACUUGAGCCGGAUGCUGCAAUUAAUUUUAAUUAAUUUUGCUCAUUUUUUAUGUGCUAAAAAGGUGUAGAGCAGGAAAGUGCUGUUUAAUAAAAAGAGGAA